AGCGGCCACGGCUCGCGAGCCGCCUCCGCCCAACUUUCUCCCUCGGCUUUCCUAGUUUAUUUUCUUUCAGGCGCCCUAAUGGGCGGUUUUGACUUCUUGGUGGCACUGCGUAAUAAGCCAGUGUCACCCCUCUGACUCCCGUCCCCGCACGCGUGAUCUUGUUAAGGAACUAGUCCUUUUGCGCGGAGUUCGGUUGAAUGACAUUGCCUUUUUCCCUACGAAGAAUAAGUUGGCAGCACAGACUUGUGAGAGGAAGUAGAUGAAAAAAAGUCUUUGGCACUUGUUUAGCGGGAAUCUGAGAAUAAUUUUGGAAAGUAUUCUCUGGAACAAGGGGGUGGGCAGAAGCUGGCUCCUGUAAAAGGACUCCCUACAGGAAAACGGAGACCUGUAAUGUAGAACGAUCGCCUCGCCUUACGGAUGGGAAGCUGAGGACAGUCGUCGCUGUAAAACUUUGACAGGUGCCCAAUAUGAGAUGAAAAGAACAAGGGAAACGGUCCUUCCUUAGGCCGUCCUGUGAUAAGGGGCUCCAGGAAAGAAGUACCCCUUUGGAACUGGCUCGUAAGUUGUGUGAGACAGUGAUGGAGAAGACUUUUUGUAUGAGAAACAUGAACGUUUUCGUUGUCUAAAAGGUAAUGUAGACAGAAUUCUAUAAAAAAAAACUUUAAAAGAG
Molecule: long non-coding RNA, 670 nt
Filed under: Mus caroli (Ryukyu mouse)
Lineage: Eukaryota; Metazoa; Chordata; Mammalia; Rodentia; Muridae
Description: lncRNA (MGP_CAROLIEiJ_G0004873.1)
Source: RNAcentral